RNAcentral lists this ribosomal RNA (429 nucleotides) under Pseudomonadota bacterium. RNAcentral's name for it is "Proteobacteria bacterium partial 16S ribosomal RNA". It matches the Rfam family "Bacterial small subunit ribosomal RNA", at positions 355 to 776 of the family's 1533-position model. The record is from RNAcentral. Lineage: Bacteria; Pseudomonadati; Pseudomonadota.
UGGGGAAUAUUGGACAAUGGGCGAAAGCCUGAUCCAGCCAUGCCGCGUGUGUGAAGAAGGUCUUCGGAUUGUAAAGCACUUUACGUUGGGAGGAAUGGCAGUAAGCGAAUACCUUGCUGUUUUGACGUUACCGACAGAAUAAGCACCGGCUAACUCUGUGCCAGCAGCCGCGGUAAUACAGAGGGUGCAAGCGUUAAUCGGAAUUACUGGGCGUAAAGCGCGCGUAGGUGGUUCGUUAAGUUGAAUGUGAAAGCCCCGGGCUCAACCUGGGAACUGCAUCCAAAACUGGCGAGCUAGAGUAGGGCAGAGGGUGGUGGAAUUUCCUGUGUAGCGGUGAAAUGCGUAGAUAUAGGAAGGAACACCAGUGGCGAAGGCGACCACCUGGGCUCAUACUGACACUGAGGUGCGAAAGCGUGGGGAGCAAACAGG